This 77-nucleotide transfer RNA is filed under the name Polysiphonia sp. RNAcentral's name for it is "tRNA-Phe". It matches the Rfam family "tRNA". From Rfam's summary of the family: Transfer RNA (tRNA) molecules are approximately 80 nucleotides in length. Their secondary structure includes four short double-helical elements and three loops (D, anti-codon, and T loops). Lineage: Eukaryota; Rhodophyta; Florideophyceae; Ceramiales; Rhodomelaceae. The record is from RNAcentral.
UGUUUAGAUAGCUCAGUUAGGUAAGAGCAUAAGGUUGAAAACCUUUGUGUCAUAGGUUCGAAUCCUAUUCUAAACAU